GAUGAACGCUAGCUACAGGCUUAACACAUGCAAGUCGAGGGGCAGCAUGGGGUUUGCUUGCAAACCUUGAUGGCGACCGGCGCACGGGUGAGUAACGCGUAUCCAACCUUCCCCUUAGUAGAGGAUAGCCCGGCGAAAGUCGGAUUAAUACUCUAUGUUCUUUCUGGAUGGCAUCUGAUGGAAAGCAAAGGUUCACCGCUAAGGGAUGGGGAUGCGUCUGAUUAGCUUGUUGGCGGGGUAACGGCCCACCAAGGCGACGAUCAGUAGGGGUUCUGAGAGGAAGGUCCCCCACAUUGGUACUGAGACACGGACCAAACUCC
This 320-nucleotide ribosomal RNA is filed under the name uncultured Prevotella sp. RNAcentral describes it as "bacterial SSU rRNA". It matches the Rfam family "Bacterial small subunit ribosomal RNA", at positions 28 to 339 of the family's 1533-position model. Lineage: Bacteria; Pseudomonadati; Bacteroidota; Bacteroidia; Bacteroidales; Prevotellaceae. The record is from RNAcentral.